Molecule: unclassified non-coding RNA, 221 nt
Filed under: plant metagenome
Description: partial contains small subunit ribosomal RNA, internal transcribed spacer 1, and 5.8S ribosomal RNA
Source: RNAcentral
CGUAGGUGAACCUGCGGAAGGAUCAUUAGUGAAUUGAAUAUGCUAGCGGACCUCUUCGGAGUCCCUAGCAUCAAAUCAUAUCCAUAACACCUGUGAACUGUAAGGCUGUCUUGAAAACGAAAGUGAUUAGAGCGCCUGCCCAUUUUAUACAAACAUUAAAGUAACAAACGUAGUCUUAUUAUAAUCUAAUAAAACUUUCAACAACGGAUCUCUUGGCUCUC